ACACAUGCAAGUCGAACGAGAAUCUACUGAAAGAGUUUUCGGACAAUGGAUGUAGAGGAAAGUGGCGGACGGGUGAGUAACGCGUGAGGAACCUGCCUUGAAGAGGGGGACAACAGUUGGAAACGACUGCUAAUACCGCAUGACGCAUAGGGGUCGCAUGAUCUAUAUGCCAAAGAUUUAUCGCUUCAAGAUGGCCUCGCGUCUGAUUAGCUGGUUGGCGGGGUAACGGCCCACCAAGGCGACGAUCAGUAGCCGGACUGAGAGGUUGAACGGCCACAUUGGGACUGAGAUACGGCCCAGACUCCUACGGGAGGCAGCAGUGGGGAAUAUUGGGCAAUGGGCGCAAGCCUGACCCAGCAACGCCGCGUGAAGGAAGAAGGCUUUCGGGUUGUAAACUUCUUUUAAGAGGGAAGAGCAGAAGACGGUACCUCUAGAAUAAGCCACGGCUAACUACGUGCCAGCAGCCGCGGUAAUACGUAGGUGGCAAGCGUUGUCCGGAUUUACUGGGUGUAAAGGGCGUGCAGCCGGGUCUGCAAGUCAGAUGUGAAAUCCAUGGGCUCAACCCAUGAACUGCAUUUGAAACUGUAGAUCUUGAGUGUCGGAGGGGCAAUCGGAAUUCCUAGUGUAGCGGUGAAAUGCGUAGAUAUUAGGAGGAACACCAGUGGCGAAGGCGGAUUGCUGGACGAUAACUGACGGUGAGGCGCGAAAGUGUGGGGAGCAAACAGGAUUAGAUACCCUGGUAGUCCACACUGUAAACGAUGAAUACUAGGUGUGCGGGG
RNAcentral lists this ribosomal RNA (779 nucleotides) under uncultured bacterium. RNAcentral's name for it is "bacterial SSU rRNA". It matches the Rfam family "Bacterial small subunit ribosomal RNA", at positions 51 to 829 of the family's 1533-position model. The record is from RNAcentral.